AAACUUUUCUCUUAUCUCACACAACGCCUCCUCCUUCCUUCCACGGUACGAUUCAUUAUUUUCUCCUACACAAUGCCUUUUUCUUCCAUAGUAAGAUUCACAAACCCUAAUUCUCAUCUAAACUCUUCAACCGCUUCUCUCUGUUUUGAUAUCUAACAUGUCUAAACUCUUCAGCCACCUCUCUCAGUUUUGAUAUCUAACAUGUCUGCUCUGUUUCAUCCACGUUUUCUAUGUCCUUAUCCUCUUUCAGUUUGGGUUUCUAUUUACCCCCUUCAUAUUAUUUAAUUGAAGAACAAUUAUUGGGUCUCUAUUGUCCUAAUUCGCUUCUUCUAAUCGAGAUCUAUUUAUCAGAAGUUACACAAUACUAAUGGGAUUCUAAUCCUCUUUGAUCGAUUUGUGUAUUAAACGAUUAGUAAGAUAGGACGACUCCUCAAUUGUGUUUUUAUGCUCUCAAUGUUCUUGAUAAAGAGACGCAGAGGUUGAAGACCAUUAAGAUUGAAGCCAAUACGGUAUCAUCUUUUAUCCUCAUUUCCAUAUUUCAUACAGAAUGCUAAAUGUGAUUGUGAAAGGUGUUCAUGUGAUAUGAUUGAAGAUUAAUAUGCUAAUUAUUGAUUGAUUGAUUAAGUUUUUGAUUCUUCUAAUGUUCUUUGUAUUUUCUAUUCACAUUCAGUAGAACAUCUUUCUUUAAUAAAAAUCCAUCUGCUGAAAUUUGUAAUUCAUGCCCGCCAACUGUUUGUGUAAAUGUCCCAUUAACUAAUUUUUCAUAUUUCCAACAUUUUGAAAUGCAUGGUCUCAAGAUGAGUUAUGUUCUUUUGAAAAACAAAUCUUGCUUUGUGUUCUUUGGUAAUCACAUUUCCCUGGUGCUUAGGUAAUCACUAAAUCCCUCUAAUACACUUAUUCGAUAAACAAGUCUUGCUUUGUUAUAGCAAAUUGCAGUUAUGUGUUGUAUAGUAAAUAGACCAGAAGAGAUGGCUAUUGUUGUUUUUGCAUAUGUCGGUGAUGCACCUUGAAAGAUAGAGCUUUAUGUUGGAAAGGUACCUAUUAAAGUCAUUCGUUGCCCACUUAUAGAUGAAGUUCAUCAGGAAUUCAACCCGUGGAUCUACCAGGUGACAAGACUUUACAAAGACAAAGAACAUGCUGAAUUCGAUUUCACUGUACGAAUAUCCUUCUGUUUUAUGGAAAACUCAGCGGGUUAGGUAACAGAUCAGAACGGGUCACCUUUUUACGGGCCAGACUGCAUUGGCUUGCUCUAUAGCACUUUUUCUUCUUAACAUUUUUCAAUAAAUAGUUAGUCUGUCAAAUAUGAUUACAAAAAUUAUAUCGUCAUAAUAGUAAUCUAAUUAUUUUAAUUAAAAUGAUUUCAGAAAUUUUAAUAAAUGCACUUUGGACGAAUUUCGACCAAUUAAACCGAUUCCUUAUAAGAUAACUUUUGUUUAUAGUUUUACCUUUAUUACCCAUUAGAGAUCAAAAUAUAACCCAAAUCAACCCGUUCAUAAGUAAACGGGUAUAAGUUGCCACAUCAAGCUAAUAGUGAUCACUGACAAUUCUGGUUUUAUUAAGUAAACUUUUGUAAGAUCGGCGAAAUACCAACGGAUGACAGUGUUGGAAAAGAAGUGAGUACAAGAAUUACAGCGAACAUGGUCACCAACAAGGUGUUCUAUACCGAUUCUAACGAAAGGAACUUUCUCAAAAGGGUACGUGAUUAUAGAGAAGACUGGCCUCUUCAAGUUACACAACCGGUAGCUGGGAAUUAUUAUCUGGUAACUCUCUAGAGACUAGACCUUUAGUUUAUGUCUUCAUAUGAGCUUUAGUUUAUGUCUUCACUAAGUUUUUUUUAUCUAAAAAGUGUUCUUUAUCAGCAUCCAUGAGUCAGAAGGAUCUGCAAUAGCGUGCUAAGAUCAAGAAACUGUUGAAAGAGGCAACUGCACUAUUUGGACUCGCGCGUUUAUUCUUCAUAUUUUUCAUUUGAACAUGCUGGCAAAAUAAUUUUUUUUAUUAUUGAGCCAUGACAAUGUAUCCUAAAUAAUAAUUUUUCAUAUUCUCAAU
Long non-coding RNA from Helianthus annuus (common sunflower), 2046 nucleotides. RefSeq lists it as uncharacterized. The transcript is spliced from 4 exons. The record is from RefSeq and is a predicted model, not a curated record. Lineage: Eukaryota; Viridiplantae; Streptophyta; Magnoliopsida; Asterales; Asteraceae.